AUAACUACGCGAAAGCGUGGCUAAUACCGCAUACGCCCUACGGGGGAAAGGGGGGGAUCGCAAGACCUCUCACUAUUGGAGCGGCCGAUAUCGGAUUAGCUAGUUGGUGGGGUAAAGGCCUACCAAGGCGACGAUCCGUAGCUGGUUUGAGAGGACGACCAGCCACACUGGGACUGAGACACGGCCCAGACUCCUACGGGAGGCAGCAGUGGGGAAUUUUGGACAAUGGGGGCAACCCUGAUCCAGCCAUCCCGCGUGUGCGAUGAAGGCCUUCGGGUUGUAAAGCACUUUUGGCAGGGAAGAAAUAGGUCUGGCUAAUAUCUGGACUGAAUGACGGUACCUGCAGAAUAAGCACCGGCUAACUACGUGCCAGCAGCCGCGGUAAUACGUAGGGUGCAAGCGUUAAUCGGAAUUACUGGGCGUAAAGCGUGCGCAGGCGGUUCGGAAAGAAGGAUGUGAAAUCCCAGGGCUUAACCUUGGAAUGGCAUUCUUAACUACCGGGCUAGAGUA
RNAcentral lists this ribosomal RNA (510 nucleotides) under Alcaligenes sp. ES-dyl5. RNAcentral's name for it is "bacterial SSU rRNA". It matches the Rfam family "Bacterial small subunit ribosomal RNA", at positions 143 to 648 of the family's 1533-position model. The record is from RNAcentral. Lineage: Bacteria; Pseudomonadati; Pseudomonadota; Betaproteobacteria; Burkholderiales; Alcaligenaceae.